Molecule: long non-coding RNA, 571 nt
Filed under: Prunus dulcis (almond)
Lineage: Eukaryota; Viridiplantae; Streptophyta; Magnoliopsida; Rosales; Rosaceae
Description: sRNA ncRNA
Source: RNAcentral
UUUGAAACCAGAAAAGAAGAACACCCAUGAUUUAAACCCAAAAACAAAAAGAACACCAAAGACCCAAAGAACACAAAGGAAAGAUUGAUCUGAGCAAUGCUUGAGGACCCAUCAACAUUUAUUGUUGGCUUUCAUGUUUCCAUUAGCGUCCUUCGUUUGAACCCAAUAAACAAACCUGGUAGUGCCCAUAUUCCCAUGGUAUUUCAAUUUGAUGACACUGAUCAACAUCCUUUGAAUGUGGUUGUUUUUUUUUUUUCUUGAUUAGAAAAACAAUUUUUUGCUUGCGUUGUUGGUGGAGGGCAAGACUAAUAAUAACCGUGAUAGAUGGUGGCUCUGUGAAGCAGACGACAAGAUGGUUGGGAUGGUGUGGAAAGGGGAAAGGAAGAAGGGCAAUCUUUAGGGAAAAAACAUGAGGGAUUCGGGGCGGAUUUGGUGGAAAGCUCCACAACGGGAAUGAGGACGGGAAUUCUCCGAAAAUUAUUAUUAGGGAUGGAGGUGGAGACAGAGAUGGAGAUAAUAUUGCCGUAACCAGUCCCGAACCGGCCGUUGCCAUCUCUAGUUUGAAUUGAGC